UUUGGCAGAAUGAAACUUUAUUGUAAAUCACAGAAAAAUUAGGUCAGCAAACAGUUCUGUGUUGUGAUUGGACAAAAUCAUAGUUGCUGAGACUGUUCAGCCAAUAAAUGCCCAAGAAUCACUUUUUUGAAUCUGAGCACCAGCUGCGCCAGGAGAGUGAUCUGAAGAAGAUACAGCCUGGCUGCACAGAAGUCCUUGUUCACGCCAAGUGUUAAUGUUUAGGAUCAACUAAAGAAAACCUCAGUUCAACCUAGUCAUCAGGAACAUAUUUCGCUGUGUUCCCACGUCUUCAGAAGAGUCCUACAAGCAAAAGGACGUGGCCAAGACAAGGCAGUGGCCACUGGUUUCAUGAUGGCUAACAAGAUCAUUGAGAGAAGCUGCCCACAGUAUCCAAAGCCUGGAGUUAUGGAAAUGUUUCUUCCUUAUAGAUGCCUCCUAAGAUGACUGACAUCUUUCUCACAGCUAAUGAUAAAACGGUUAUGUAGUGAUGGCUAAGGGUGAGUGAACUGAGACUGAAGAAAACUAAAGUGCACAGUGAUGAACAGUGUCAUUCUAUGAGAUAUUUGAUGUGAGCAUUAAGGACUGUAACAAGUGUUUCAGUAUUAGGUUCUGUGAUUGGCCCUUGUGCUUUGUAUUAGCCAAUUAAAAGUCCUCAUUGUAGAGACAUACACAGUGUAGCUGUCCUGAAUGUAGUGUGGCUGCUUGGUCCUUGAAGUUGCUGGUUUUGUGCUCAGCAUGUGUAAAGGAAACCAAGUGAGCUCUUGUGAUAUUUGCAAUACUUCCCAAACAGACUUUACUUGUGCAGGCCGCCAGGUAUAUUAACGGCCGCUCCGGUAUAAUUGGCGACCGAUUUUAGAUUUUUUUUAAUUUUCAGGAUGAUGCCAUCCGCGAUUGAUUAACUAGUGGACCUCCCCUCGCUCUACCUCGUCCCGUGUGGUCUACUACAGAGAAACAGAGAGAAGUUCUCUGACAUUACGUUAGAAUAAGCGGACACGGUGGAUAUUUUACAAGCACGGACCAGGUAAAGCAACAGUGAUUGUUUCAUUAACAACAAGCCUCCUCUACACGUGGCUCACCUGCGGCUGUGAAAACGGAAUCGCGAGUUGCGAGUCUUAAUAUUUCUGUGUCAUUCUGUGGGAAACACUGAUUUGGUCUCUACAAACUGGAUAUUAAGUAGGGAUGCAUGAUAUAUUGGGCAGAUAAAUUGGAAAUUUAUAUUAUCAGCUAUAUCAACAAGGCAAGAUGGUGCGAGUUUGCUGUUCAUUAUUGUGUUUCUACUGUUUGUCAUUCAUGAUGUGUCAUCACUACUUGUGUAUAAUCGUCUGACGUUGCUGAAAAUACGGGAUACUGUGAACAAUUUGCCUCAAUGUGCAAAAAAUGGGCAUUCAAAUACACCGCCACCUCUGCUUGCUUCUGUGCCGGCUUACCUAUGGCGCCCUGUCUGCGCGUUGCCUCGCAACAAGAGGCGCAGGAGACGCGGAAAAAGAGGAGGGAUGCUGGUGAAACUCAAGGCUUACCUGGCUUCCUCGCGUCUGGAUUAUUCUGGCUGUUCCCUGAAUGGAAUACCCAUGGAUUGUACAAAUUUUGACCUGCGGCGCUCUUUGGAGUACUGCUAUCGGUGGCUCCAACCAGCUCUCCCUGACGCCGGG
Siniperca chuatsi (mandarin fish) is the source of this 1649-nucleotide long non-coding RNA. RefSeq lists it as uncharacterized. The record is from RefSeq and is a predicted model, not a curated record. NCBI's taxonomy places the organism in Eukaryota, Metazoa, Chordata, Actinopteri, Centrarchiformes, Sinipercidae. The transcript is spliced from 3 exons.